AAACAAGUACAAGGUGGUGAAGGUGGAGGACAAUUUUGUGGAGCUGGAGACCAUGGAUGGAAUCCCUCUGACUUCCAGGACACCCUACGCUUCAGUGAAGCCAGUUCGUAUCAGGUCCCAGACAGGCCACCCCAUUGAGGAGACUGUAGAGGUUUCCUCUGACAGCUCUAUGUCGGGGAGCGACACCCGUGAGGUGACAUGCACUGUACCUCCUGGCACACUGUCCCCACAAGAAGAGACCGGACAGUCUUAUGGU
Long non-coding RNA from Clupea harengus (Atlantic herring), 256 nucleotides. RefSeq lists it as uncharacterized. The transcript has 4 exons. NCBI's taxonomy places the organism in Eukaryota, Metazoa, Chordata, Actinopteri, Clupeiformes, Clupeidae. The record is from RefSeq and is a predicted model, not a curated record.